Molecule: ribosomal RNA, 301 nt
Filed under: uncultured bacterium
Lineage: Bacteria
Description: partial 16S ribosomal RNA
Rfam family: Bacterial small subunit ribosomal RNA
Source: RNAcentral
CAGCCGCCGCGGGAAUACGAAGGGGGCUAGCGUUGCUCGGAAUUACUGGGCGUAAAGGGCGCGUAGGCGGACAUUUAAGUUAGGGGUGAAAUCCCAGAGCUCAACUCUGGAACUGCCUUUGAUACUGGGUGUCUUGAGUGUGAGAGAGGUAUGUGGAACUCCGAGUGUAGAGGUGAAAUUCGUAGAUAUUCGGAAGAACACCAGUGGCGAAGGCGACAUACUGGCUCAUUACUGACGCUGAGGCGCGAAAGCGUGGGGAGCAAACAGGAUUAGAUACCCCCGUAGUCCCUGUCUCUUAUAC